This is a small nuclear RNA of Mustela putorius furo (domestic ferret), 110 nucleotides long. The record is from Ensembl. Lineage: Eukaryota; Metazoa; Chordata; Mammalia; Carnivora; Mustelidae.
GUGCUCGUUUCAGCAGCACGUGUACUAAAAUGGGGAUGAGAUGGAGAAUGGAGAUUAGCAUGGCCCCUGCUCAGGAGGGCAUGCAAACUCAUGAAAUGUUCCAUAGUUUU